Non-coding RNA from Crucibulum laeve, 94 nucleotides. NCBI's taxonomy places the organism in Eukaryota, Fungi, Basidiomycota, Agaricomycetes, Agaricales, Nidulariaceae. The record is from the annotation of a GenBank genome assembly.
UCCUUCUUAGCUCAGUUGGUAGAGCGCGUCACUAGUAUUAUGGAGGGACCAAAAUCCUAUGACGAGGUCAGUCGUUCAAGUCGGCUAGAAGGAA